GACGAACGCUGGCGGCGCGCCUAACACAUGCAAGUCGAACGAGCGAGAGAGAGCUUGCUUUCUCGAGCGAGUGGCGAACGGGUGAGUAACGCGUGAGGAACCUGCCUCAAAGAGGGGGACAACAGUUGGAAACGACUGCUAAUACCGCAUAAGCCCACGGCUCGGCAUCGAGCAGAGGGAAAAGGAGCAAUCCGCUUUGAGAUGGCCUCGCGUCCGAUUAGCUAGUUGGUGAGGUAAUGGCCCACCAAGGCAACGAUCGGUAGCCGGACUGAGAGGUUGAACGGCCACAUUGGGACUGAGACACGGCCCAGACUCCUACGGGAGGCAGCAGUGGGGAAUAUUGCACAAUGGGGGAAACCCUGAUGCAGCGACGCCGCGUGGAGGAAGAAGGUCUUCGGAUUGUAAACUCCUGUUGUUGAGGAAGAUAAUGACGGUACUCAACAAGGAAGUGACGG
Molecule: ribosomal RNA, 455 nt
Filed under: uncultured bacterium
Lineage: Bacteria
Description: bacterial SSU rRNA
Rfam family: Bacterial small subunit ribosomal RNA
Source: RNAcentral